AGAUUGAACGCUGGCGGCAUGCCUUACACAUGCAAGUCGAACGGCAGCACGGGAGCAAUCCUGGUGGCGAGUGGCGAACGGGUGAGUAAUACAUCGGAACGUGCCCAAUCGUGGGGGAUAACGCAGCGAAAGCUGUGCUAAUACCGCAUAAGAUCUACGGAUGAAAGCAGGGGAUCGCAAGACCUUGCGCGAAUGGAGCGGCCGAUGGCAGAUUAGGUAGUUGGUGAGGUAAAGGCUCACCAAGCCUUCGAUCUGUAGCUGGUCUGAGAGGACGACCAGCCACACUGGGACUGAGACACGGCCCAGACCCCUAGGGAGCAGCAGUGGGGAAUUUGGACAUGGGCGAAAGCCUGAUCCAGCCAU
Molecule: ribosomal RNA, 363 nt
Filed under: uncultured soil bacterium
Lineage: Bacteria
Description: bacterial SSU rRNA
Rfam family: Bacterial small subunit ribosomal RNA
Source: RNAcentral